This 230-nucleotide long non-coding RNA is filed under the name Trifolium pratense (red clover). RNAcentral describes it as "long non-coding RNA (TPRA_LNC014163)". Lineage: Eukaryota; Viridiplantae; Streptophyta; Magnoliopsida; Fabales; Fabaceae. The record is from RNAcentral.
UGUUGUUGUACUAGUUGCUUAUGGACGUUGUUUAUUGAUGUUGUUAUAAUUAUGAUGAAGUUGUCUAUCGAAGUUGUUAAAUGAUGUAGCCUAUUGACGUUGCUUAUUAUAACAUGACAUGCAUUCAUUCAUUUGUCCAAUGACGUUGCCUAUUGAAGUUGUAUAAAUGAUGUUGAAAAUGACGUUGCUUAAUGAAGUUGAAAAUGACGUUGCUUAUAAUGAUGUUGAUC